RNAcentral lists this ribosomal RNA (253 nucleotides) under uncultured bacterium. Its description in RNAcentral is "partial 16S ribosomal RNA". It matches the Rfam family "Bacterial small subunit ribosomal RNA", at positions 524 to 776 of the family's 1533-position model. The record is from RNAcentral.
UACAGAGGGUGCAAGCGUUGUUCGGAAUUACUGGGCGUAAAGCGCGUGUAGGUGGCGAUGUAAGUCGGGUGUGAAAUCCCUUGGCUUAACCAAGGAAGUGCAUUCGAUACUGUGUCGCUUGAGUACUGGAGGGGAUGGUGGAAUUCCCGGUGUAGAGGUGAAAUUCGUAGAUAUCGGGAGGAACACCUGUGGCGAAGGCGACCAUCUGGACAGUCACUGACACUGAGACGCGAAAGCGUGGGUAGCAAACAGG